This is a long non-coding RNA of Ipomoea nil (Japanese morning glory), 1064 nucleotides long. RefSeq lists it as uncharacterized. The record is from RefSeq and is a predicted model, not a curated record. The transcript is spliced from 4 exons. NCBI's taxonomy places the organism in Eukaryota, Viridiplantae, Streptophyta, Magnoliopsida, Solanales, Convolvulaceae.
UCUCUUAUGCGCCGUCAAGCCCUAACCUUUCUGGUCUCGUCCACCCACCCAACUUAGCUGAUGGACGCCGCCGCCACAGCAGCGAUGCAUUCCUGCCGGAGCCAGUGAGAGCUACCUCUCUGCAAAUGGCUGAAACCCCGAGCAGAAGAUCUCAGAAAACCCCCAAAUAGCAGAAGGCGCCGCCACCGUCCAUCUCAGAUUCAUCGCCCUCGUGCCAUGUCCUCCCACCUACCCCUCAAACCCUAGACUCCUCACCUCGCUGCCGCUCUCUCCGACUGACCUCCACCCCUCAAACCUCAACACCGCCUCCAGCGCCGACCUCUACCCGCAACUCCUCCGGCCGAAAGUCUCUCAAGUUCGCUUCUCAAAGUGAUUAGAAAACCCCACUUGGCCACUUCCAACCAAAGAGAGAGGGAUGAGGAGGAAGAUGGGGACUAUGUAGAAUCCAAGAUGUUACUAGAUUGGAAUCCAUGUUUGGCAAAGUACUCAACUUUCGGUGGUCUGAACUCUCUUCUUCACCGCUAAGGGCCAUAAUGAGAUUGUGGCAUUGUUUCUUGAUAAUGGAGUUGAUGUGAAUUCCUGGAAUUACUGUGGGCAGCUCUCCUCGGGCUUCAAUUAGAAGCAUGGAUCAGAAGAUCAUUAUUUGGGAUCUACAACAUUCGUUGCCUUGAUGCACAUGUGAACAUGAGGUUUGUUCCAACUACUAUACAUGAGUUGAUGAUGAUGGAGAUGAAGAUGGAGAUGGUACUGAAGGAGCAGUAGGUGGUGCAUUUAAAAGAACUUCUGUUAAUUUUACUCAAUUUUGUAGUUAUCCAAUUGUUUUGCUUUCAGAUUUUAUAAUUGUGUGAUAUUCAUUUGAUGCAUGCAUUUUAUACUGGUUCAGAGGAUGGUAUUAUAAUAUUGUUAUAUUGUAUAUCCAUUUCUAAAUCUAACAUCUUUUGUGAAACUUUAAUUCGCCAUUCACAAGAUGCUGAUCAGGUAGUAGAUAGAUCUAUCAGUGCUGCUUGUGUUUUUUCAAUAAUAUAAUGUGGAUAUUUUUAUUUAUUUUCUCCUAUUUCAACCUU